UACAGAGGGGGCAAGCGUUGUUCGGAAUUACUGGGCGUAAAGGGCGCGUAGGCGGCCUGCUAAGUCGAACGUGAAAUCCCCGAGCUCAACUCGGGAACUGCGUCCGAUACUGACAGGCUUGAAUCCGGGAGAGGGAUGCAGAAUUCCAGGUGUAGCGGUGAAAUGCGUAGAUAUCUGGAGGAAUACCGGUGGCGAAGGCGGCAUCCUGGACCGACAUUGACGCUGAGGAGCGAAAGCUAGGGGAGCAAACGGG
This 253-nucleotide ribosomal RNA is filed under the name uncultured bacterium. Its description in RNAcentral is "partial 16S ribosomal RNA". It matches the Rfam family "Bacterial small subunit ribosomal RNA", at positions 524 to 776 of the family's 1533-position model. The record is from RNAcentral.